AUAUUGCUGGUUCAACCUGCCCAAUGUAGAUAGUGAAAUGAAUGGCCGCGGUACUCUGACCGUGCUAAGGUAGCGUAAUCAGUUGGCUUUUAAAUGGAGUCAGGAAUGAAUGGGAUAACCUGGUCUAGCUGUCUUGAAGUCAUUAUCUUGAAUUUACUGUUUAAGUGAAAAAGCUUAUUUAAGAAAAAGGGACGAGAAGACCCUUAGAAUUUUAUCCAAAAAGACACAAUUUGUCUUUACGAUUUUGUUGGGGCGACAAAGAGAUAUAUUUAAACUCUCUUAGUAAGACAAUCCGAAAUUUUUAAUCAAGAAUAAAUUACCUGAGGGAUAACAGCAUAAUUCUAAAAUUGAGUUUGUGACCUCGAUGUUGGACUAGGAAACUAGCAGGCCAGCCGUUUGCUUUGUGGGUUCUGUUCGAACUUUAAUUCCU
RNAcentral lists this ribosomal RNA (430 nucleotides) under Glaucus atlanticus. RNAcentral's name for it is "partial 16S ribosomal RNA". It matches the Rfam family "Archaeal large subunit ribosomal RNA", at positions 1935 to 2665 of the family's 2987-position model. Lineage: Eukaryota; Metazoa; Mollusca; Gastropoda; Nudibranchia; Glaucidae. The record is from RNAcentral.